Molecule: long non-coding RNA, 3524 nt
Filed under: Oryctolagus cuniculus (rabbit)
Lineage: Eukaryota; Metazoa; Chordata; Mammalia; Lagomorpha; Leporidae
Description: lncRNA (ENSOCUG00000039584.1)
Source: RNAcentral
UGCAUCUCCAAUUAAUAGUGAGUGGCCAGAAUGUGAGCUGACGAUCCAUUGUGACAAAACCUCAGAAGAAAAUUUUGAAUUUGUGAAUGGCUUUUAGCAGAAAUGAGGCAGAGAAAGGCUUGCAGAAACCCAGAGAAGAGCAUCUUGGUAGUUUAUCAUGUGACAUGUCUCCCUGGAGGAAAAGCCUGGAGACCCAUUUUAACAGAAAGGCAGGUCUCUGGAGCCCCCUGGUCUGCCAGAACCAUCAGAAUGGCAGUACCACUGAGCCCUUCAUCCGAUCCGGCCAAUAAAAAUAAUAUGAUUGCUUGUAACCAGGCAUUGUAUUGCCGACUAGCAAAGAACCAGCGGGAAAUACAAGAUCUGAAAGAGAUAGUUCAUCAUUUCAGCUUCAUCCUCCACCAAGAGGAAAACAAUUAUAGUGAGGGCCAAGAGGUGAUUCAAUCCAGGCUAAGGGCGAAGCCAGCACUUGGAACUCCACAGCUUGAGAAGCUGGCACCUGCAGAGUUCAAGAAAUGCCAUGUAAAUAAGGCACGCACCCGCAAGUGGCACCGGCUACGUAAGAAGUCAAGAAAACAGACACAGAUUUGUCAUCUCAGCCUACAUCCCAGAGCCCUCCUCACCCAGCAUGACCCUGACAGCCACCACACACGGGGCUUGCUGGAGCCACUGGUUGUUCAUGUCAGGCUGGAAAAGCAUCUUGUCUACAAAUGUAGCCUGGCAAAAGAAAUGACGCAAAUGAAGGGUGGUUGCUGGGACUUAAUCUGCCCCAGCAGGAUCAGUGGGUGCUUUCCACCUCAAGUAGAGCCUGAGUUGGUACCAGGGCUGAUCAUGGGUGAAUAUUGUUGGUGCAUCGUCAUGAAAGCCAAGCUGGUUAUGCAGCAGCAUUAUCCUGGUGGUGGCUGGACGAUAGUGCUGGAAGAGUGCUCGUGGUGCACAAGGUUUGGAGUCUAUGGGAAUUCCCUUGAGGACAGAGUGCCACAUGAAGCCAAACCUGCAUUGUGUGAAAACCGAUCUCUAGCUGAAGGGCAUCGCAUCAUGGCAUGCACACACCUUGCAGAUGUACCUUACAUGUGGCAUGCCUCCUGGGGGGACAAGCUGGAAAUACUGUUCCAGGCCUGGGCCAGGGUCCAGCAGCCCCUAGCCCAGCAGUCCAUCCACUGGAUAGAGGCCAUUGAGGGGUAUGAUACCUCCUCCCAAAAGGACGAAGUGGUAUCUGCAGACAGAGCUGAGGUUAUCCCCAGGGUGUGUGGAGAUCCACCCCCACUGGAAGGGCCAGACACCAUCGUGCCCAUCCUCAAGGAAGAUGGAUCCUACCUGCUCUGUGGAUUUUGGGCUGAUGAGCCUGAAGCACCAGCCCAGGCCUGGUCUGAGACUGUGAAAUGUACAAUCCAGCAGCCCGUCUGCUGUGCUGAGGCCAAUGUGGUGGAAGACCUUUCCUACAAAAGGAGGAAGGGGAGGUGGCAACUGCAGUCCAGGCUGAGCCUAUCCCCAGGGUGUGUGGAGAUCCACCCCCACUGGAAAGGCCAGAUGUCAUCCUGCCUAUCCUGAAGGAUGACAGAUCCUACAUGCUCUGUGGAUAUUGGGCUGAUGGGUCUGGAACACCAGUGCAGGUUUCUGCUGAGCCUUGGCACCUUACAACCCAGCAGCCCAUCUGCUGUGCUGAGGCCAUUGUGGUAGAAGAUGCCUCAAACCAAAAGGAGAAAGGAGAGGUGGCAUCUCCAGACCUGGCCGAGGCAAACCUCAGGGUGUGUGAAGACCCACCCCCACUGGAAGGGCCAGAUGUCAUCGUACCUAUCCUCAAGGAUGAUGGGUCCUACAUGCUCUGUGGAUUUUGGGCAGAUGAUGAUGCUGAAGCUCCAAUCUGGGCCUGUGUUGGGGCCUGGCAUCCUACAAUCCAGCAGCCCAUCUGCUGUACUGAGGCCAUUGUGGUGGAAAACCCCUACCACCAAAAGGAGGAAGUGGAGUUGGCAUCUACAGACCAGGCCGAGGCUAUCCCCAGGGUGGGUGAAGAUCCACCCCCACUGGAAGGGCCAGAUGCCAUCGUGCCUGUCCUCAAGGAUGACGGGUCCUACGUGCUCUGUGCAUAUUGGGCAGAUGAACCUGAAGCACCAGACCAGGCCUGGGCUAGGGCCUGGCACUUUACAACCCAGCAACCCCUCUGCUGUGCUGAGGCCAUUGUGGUGGAAGACUCCUCAAACAAAAAGGAGAAAGUCAAGGGGGCAUCCUCAGAUCAGGCUGAGGCUAUGUCCAGUCCUCUGCAUUCACACCUCAGGGUGGGUGAAGAUCCACCCCCACUGGAAAGGCCAGAUGUCAUCGUGCCUAUCCUCAAGGGUGACGGAUCCUACCUGCUCUGUGGAUUUUGGGCUGAUGAUCCUGAAGCACCAGUCCAGGCCUGUGCUGAGCUCUGGCACAUUGCAACCCAGAAGCCCAUUUGCUGUGCUGAAGCCAUUGCGGAGGAAGAGUCCUCCUGCAAAAAGGAGGAAGGGGACUCAGCAUCUGCAGAGCAGGCCGAGGCUAUACCCAGGGUGUGUGGAGAUCCACCCCCACUGGAAGGGCCAGAUGCCAUCGUGCCUAUCCUCAAGGAAGAUGGAUCCUACCUGCUCUGUGGAUAUUGGGCUGAUGAGCCUGAAGCACCAGUCCAGGCCUGGGCUGGGGCCUGGCACUUUACAACCCAGCAGCCCAUCUGCAGUGAUGAGGACACUUUGGGUGAGUCCAUUGAUAUGAUUCUUGUUGCAGGUAUGAUAAACCUAUGAGCAUCCCAAUGACCCUAGUUGCUUGCUCUAAGCCCUGGGGAAAGGUGGUGAUGUGGUAGGCUUUCCCCAGGGCUACAUCUGGAUGGACUAAGGCAGAACCCUGGGUGGAGUUUGCAGCAUGGAUGUAGUCUAGGUAGGUGUUUCUUGCCCCAGCCCUGUGCCAUGACCCUGCCAUUUCUCCCAGGAAAUCUGUACUCCUGGCUACCUUCUCAGCCCAAGAUCUUAACCAGAUGCUCUUGAAGUGGGCUGUUCAUUCUCUUGUUCCCAUGGUGGAGACUGCACUUCCCCUCUGGAACACUUAACCAUGUACUGGGGGUUCCAUCCUGAGGUUGUCAAUGCUGGCCCCGUGCAUCUCGGGAUCCACUAGGACCACAGUGUCUGCAUGGCACCAAAAGGCGCCUGUGUGUGGGAAGCUCUGUGGGUUUCCCAUGUUCAUUUUAUGGCAGGGGAUAGUAACCAGGGAGUCCCCACAUUGCCUGCAGGAUCAGAUGAGCCUCUAAUUGUGCAGUUGAACACUGAGACACCUAAGAGAGCCAGGGGAUUGAAUGUGGCUGACCCCUGUGGGAGAUCAGGAUGCCCAAUGAGUGAGUUGACACACUCUCAGACAGGGAGGGAGAUUUCCAUUGUUGGGCAGAGGACUUGUCAAAACAGCCAUGUCCUUAUGGUUUGGUUCUGUCGCUAACCAAGAUAGUACCACAACCAGACAGCAUAGAUAUCCUUGGAAUCUGGUGUGACAGUAGGCGGUACCUGUGAUUUAGCAUGCCCUCACAU